Molecule: ribosomal RNA, 433 nt
Filed under: uncultured Anaerovorax sp.
Lineage: Bacteria; Bacillati; Bacillota; Clostridia; Peptostreptococcales; Anaerovoracaceae
Description: partial 16S ribosomal RNA
Rfam family: Bacterial small subunit ribosomal RNA
Source: RNAcentral
ACGGGAGGCAGCAGUGGGGAAUAUUGCACAAUGGGGGGAACCCUGAUGCAGCAACGCCGCGUGAAGGAAGAAGGCCUUUGGGUCGUAAACUUCUGUCCUAAGGGACGAUAGUGACGGUACCUUAGGAGGAAGCCCCGGCUAACUACGUGCCAGCAGCCGCGGUAAUACGUAGGGGGCGAGCGUUAUCCGGAAUUAUUGGGCGUAAAGAGUGCGUAGGUGGUUUUUUAAGCGCGGGGUGAAAGGCAAUAGCUUAACUAUUGUUAGCCCUGCGAACUGGGAGACUUGAGUGCUGGAGAGGAAAGCGGAAUUCCUAGUGUAGCGGUGAAAUGCGUAGAUAUUAGGAGGAACACCAGUGGCGAAGGCGGCUUUCUGGACAGUAACUGACACUGAGGCACGAAAGUGUGGGGAGCAAACAGGAUUAGAUACCCUGGUA